This 3425-nucleotide long non-coding RNA is filed under the name Citrus sinensis (sweet orange). RNAcentral describes it as "long non-coding RNA (CSIN_LNC000126)". Lineage: Eukaryota; Viridiplantae; Streptophyta; Magnoliopsida; Sapindales; Rutaceae. The record is from RNAcentral.
CGCGUUCACUAGGAUUUUGCUCUCAGCAGGGACGUCGUAGCCUCCAAGCUUGGCGUCGUGAAGGUUCAUGUGCGGCACAAGAAGAGGAAUUGCCAUCCUAAGGCGAAGAGUUUCCUUGAUCACGGCCUGAAGGUAGGGUAGUUUGUGGGUGUCAGGCUCAGUGAUUUGAUGACCAGGACCAAGCACGGUGUCAAGUUCAUUGCGGAGCUUCUUCUGGAUUUCAGGAUGAUUCACUAGCUCUGCAAUUCCCCACUCGAUCGACCAAAGAGUUGUCUCGAUCGCUGUCAUAUAUUUAUGUACAAAUGAAAAUUAAUCAGAUCAUGAUUUUUGACAUAUUUGUAUCUACUAAUUAGGACGGGUCCAAAUUCUUGACUUUGAAGCCACAUUAGACAGAAGUUAGGUGAUCAAUUAAUAUUUAUAUAUAUUUGAAAUCACAUUAGACAGAAGUUAGGUGAUCAAUUAAUAUUUAUAUGUAUUGAAAUCAAAUCAUAGGAUCCGAAACUGAUUAACAUUAAACAGGGAGCUUAAAUAUAUACUUGCAUUAUUAGUUCACCAACUUACUCAAGCAUAUGAUUGUUGCUUGUGGAAAUAUCAAAUAAACAGGGAGCUUAAAUGUAUACUUGCAUUAUUAGUUCACCAACUUACUCAAGCAUAUGAUUGUUGCUUGUGGAAAUAUCAUGUUAUCUGUGAGUUGUCACCCAUGACAACUCUUUUAUUUUAUAUGCUCCAAUUUUUUUAUCUGAAUGACAACUUAGAAUUACUGUAUAUAAGAUAUUAUGUACCAUAGCAUGACUUAUGUUAUUCUUUUAAAAAAUUAAUCAAAUUGGCUUUUUGGAAAAGUCAAAGGCUAGUUUGACCCGGCCAAAAGUUGGACUUUAGUAUUUUCAUCUUUUUCACCAGUAAAGAAGAAAGCAUUGAAUUGCUUGGCCAAAAAUAUACAUACAUACAUACAUAUAUAUAUAUAUAUAUAUAUAUAUAUAUAUAUAUAUAUAUGGUGAUUGUUAAGUUACAUGAUCAUAUAAUUUACGUCAAUUCAACAUUUUCUACCACUGACAUAAAAGUAUAAAUAACAAAAAUCAAAUGUGUGUUAAUGAUAGUAAGUGUUGGAUUGAUAUAAGUUACAUAAUUAUUUAACUUAACAACCACCUAUACAUAAAUAUCCAUAUAUAUAAAGUAGGCUAUCUCUAAUAUAAAUAAUAGAGAGGGACUAAGUUACGUGCCCCUCAAGGGUACAGUACUCAUAGUAGGCCCGGAUAUUAUAAUAGGCCCGAAUAUUAUAACUGUGAGAGGACCGCAAGUUAACCUAAAUAAUAUAAUAAUUAAUGGUAUUGAUGUUGACAGCGUUUUGGGCAAAAGAGUUAAGGAUUUUUUUUUUUUUGAAAAGAGUUAAGGAUUAAGACCGAUAAAAUCAGCUGAUCAAAUGCAUGAUUUGAUACAUUUUUCUUACCUAAACCUCUUUUGCUUUUCUUCCGGAAUCAUUACCUUCUAAUUAAUUAAUUAAUAAACCAAUGAGAAUAUACUGCCUUGAAAAAAAUUAAAAAAAUGAUAACUUCACUGAAUCCCACUCCACAAAAAAAUCGUCUAGUGGAUAAUUAAAAAGUAUAAGAAGCUUCUUUACGCUACCACCGUAUUAUAUAAUAUAGUGAUUGGAUGUGUGAACGUGGUUUUUAAAAAAUCUAAAAAUUAUCAUAAGAAUUAAAAAAAUAGAAAUUACUAAUAAUUUAUAGUACAACCUAUAUCAUUGAAUUUGUUUUUUAAAAUAAAUAAAAAAAGUAAACAUGAUUUCCAAGUUUAUCAACCUAUUUACUAUUUAGUUGCACGUGUAUUCUCAAAGUUGAGAUAGAGACCAACAAUUGUAAUUUUCAAUUAAUUUAUUCUUUUUAGCUGACAUCUUUGAAAAAAAAAAAUGAAAGAAAUAAAUAUCCGGUGCUCUUAGCUUAUGUCAUUUGUAGAAGAAAUAAAUACAUCUGACAAAGGCCUUAAACUAUUUUAUGAGGCGACAUUUAAACUACGCAAUCAAUCAAGUUUUUUAAUCCAAUUUCAAGGGACCAAAAUACCGUUUCGUGUAAAACAGAUUCACGUAAUCAUCUAAAUUUUUUUUGUAAAUUUGGAGUAUAAAUUAAUUAAUUAAUUAGAUGAACAUACCGGCAACAUUGAUGUUCUCAACGAUGUAUAGAACGUUGUCCUCGUUGAUUUCUCCCUUUGUCUGAGCGUCCAAAAUAUGAUCGAUUGCGCAUUUCAAGCUUUCAUUACUCAUGCUCUUCGUGCUUGCCAAUUUCCUGCCAAUAAAAAUUAAUCACGUCAAUUGAAUAAUCAAAUAACGGCAAUAAAAAAUAUCUACAAUAAAAAUCAAUGUCAACGUAAGCAAUUCUUUCGUUGGGCCAUGGACAGAAUGACCGCUGAUUUUGUUUUCAAAACAUAAAUAGAAACCGACAGAAACUAGAUCCCCGUCGAAGCAAGGGAUAAGGAUAACGUGUCAGACAAAACGGUCACGGAAUAUUUAUUUAUUUUAAAAAUAAUUAUUAUGUCAUUAAUUGAUUACGACGCCCCACCGUUGAUUAUUAUUUCUUUUUUUUAUUUUCGUAAAUAAAUGAUUUAAAUUUUAAACUACACAAUUAUAUUAAUUUUUACUUUUAUUUACAAUUUAAAAAUUAAAAAAAGACCAGAAAAAUCAGAGAUCAUAAUCCCACAAAUAAAGUUGAAUGUGAGAUUUUCAAAUAGUUAUUUUUAUAAUAUUAAUACUUAAAUUAGAUUUAAAAAAUAAAAAGAGACUUAAAACGAAAAAGAGAUUCUGAAAACAAAAAGAUUUUGGACACCGUUUUGCGAAAAAAAAUCUCGUACGGAAACAAAAAGGAAAAUUAAGAAAAAAGUAAAUUAAAGAAAAGAGAAAAGCGUACUUUCUCUCCUCAACAAAGUAGUCCUUGAAGAGCUGGAGUCUCCUUUCUUUAACUUCCUUACAAAUCUUCAAGUAGCCUCUCAAGAAAGGUCUCAAAAUGGGAAUAAAAUCACCGUAAUUGUACUCAAAGCUCUGGGCCAACCGACUCCUCUCACCAUUCAAAGCCUUUAAUCUGUUAAACAAAGGAUCAUCCUGACUCUCGAAUCUUCUAUCAAACAUAAUCCUGUACAUGUUGUUGUACAUCAUAAGCUGCAGCCGCCUCCUCAAGACGAUCCCAUUGGUCGCCGCCUCGGGGUCCUUCUUAACAUCCUCAACGACUCUAGCGGCCUCGUCUUCCCAAUUAAACCGCUGCUGCUGAACCACUUUGUUCGUGAAGAAAGGGACGGUCAUGAUCCUCCGCAUCUUCCGCCAGUGCUCGCCGUACACUGUGAACACCAUGUCCUGGCCCUUCCCAGUGAAGAUAUCGAACACGACGUUCCUCGUUCGUGAUCCGAACUCCACUCCCUGCGUGUGCAGAACCUCCUUGGCG